CCUCUGACGCUCGUUUACUCGGAAGUAGGCCCUACUGUGUGUGAUGGCUUUUUUUUUUUUUCCUCCCGAGGCGGCUAAGAAAUCGUGGCGUCGCGGCUUUGCUUUUGGGAUUGCUGGUUACGACACUUUUUAAUCUCUCAGCCCAGCAGAUCCACAGAGAACCGACCAGCGAGGGCAUGAUUUCUGAACCGCAGCCCCGGCCAUCCCCUCAAGAUAAAUCAAACCCCAUCGUGCGAACGCUACAACAACCUUGGCCCGAGUGGGUGGGGAUUCGGAAGAGGGAGGAAAGGGGCGGAUCGGAUCCGAGGAGAGCCGAGGAAGGGAGCUAACAGGCGGUCGGGCGAUCGCUUCAAUUUGAGCUAAACUGGGAACCGGCUCGGCAAGGGUUAACGCGGCGGCAGUUCCUCUCCGGUGCUCCCCGCAGAGCCUGUUAUGGCCUUUAAGCAGACGUCGCUAAUGCAUCCCGCACCAGCCCCCUCUCGGGCUGCCACUGGGGUUUCCUGCUUGUGCGGCAGGCAUUGAGCCGAGCGUGGCAGCCUUCCUGCGAGCCCAGCUGCCUUAACGGAGCAGAGCCCGGGAACCGACGGAGGCAAGCAAGCCUUCCUCAGCUGAUAUACCCUGAGCCCGGGUUCCUCAGGUGCGACGCUUUGCACUCAGCCGGGAGCCUUGCAGACAACAGACCCAAGGAAUCACCAUGUGGUCCCGCUUUUUGAGAACAGUUCCUGAAGGCCAAGGCUGUCAGAUUUCCAUCCUAAUAAAACAGUGACGAUGAGAAA
Molecule: non-coding RNA, 776 nt
Organism: Pantherophis guttatus
Lineage: Eukaryota; Metazoa; Chordata; Lepidosauria; Squamata; Colubridae
Source: RefSeq, a predicted model, not a curated record